UUUUUUUUUUUUUUUUUUUAGUAUGUCAGGAUCUGUCAAUCUAUAGUUGUUUCUUGAUUAAUGCACAUAACAUUUUAUGAUUUGGAUGUCACAGUCUUCAUUUAUUUUGGACAACGUUUGCUUCUCAUGUUCUGAGCUGAGCUAACCGUGCUUCACACUGGUGUUGCAGGAGGGGUUGGGGAGACCUUAUCCGUGUCAGGCAGUCAUUUUUUUUUUUUUUUUUUUUAACGUCACCAACAUUUUCCCCCAAACUGCCUAGGAGAAUUAAUUAUAUUAAUGCUUAGGCUUUGGAAAUGGCUAUUCCUGGUUAAUGCGCAUGCUUAUAUAAGGAUUAAAUCUAAAGAGCUUAAAAGUGUUCUAGUUCCAUAACUAACCAGCAGCUAUUAGACAAAAGGGAAGAUGCUACGUGCUUCCCAGAUGUUACUGAUUAAAAAAUCAAGUCUGCACAAAGGAGUGUAUAAUAACGGCUGCCAGUGAUUGUAUAUUUUGGAAAGAGUUGGUAUAAAAUGCUAAUUACUUUCUGAUAGGUUCCUAAACAGCCAUGCUGAUGUUUUUAAGGAAUUAUUUUUACUGUAUUUUGCUCUUCCUAAAAGACGUUGAAAAUGACUUCUUUUAAGCUGCAGUAGAGUACAGCAUCAGCCUGUGUGUUUCUAGGUCUUUUGCCAAGUGCUUUUUUUCACAGUUGAAAGCUAUCCUUCACUAGCAUAUUGAUAUUUUAUUUCUCUACCUAUUAGUAACCACUCCAGGGAUCAUGAUACAAGGGAAAAUGAAGUAAGGCAUUUUAUUGAACAUUAUUUUGACUUGCAAACUCUGCUACUAAAUAUUAACUUUGCCAAAAAGCAGUUCACUAUCAACUUCUUCAUAGAGAAAGUAGCUAGACUGUACCCUACAUAUUUAUUUAUUUAUUAUUCUACCAUAGUAAAAUAACCAAACGCCUGAUUCAUGAAGUUCAGUUCUUUGGAACUGAAAAUUAGCUUCUUCUUCUUUCCUUUAAUACUUCCUGUAAAUAUCAGGUCAGCAUCCCCACUAAAAGGAAGCUGGACUUGUAUGCCAUACAAGUGGAUCAUAUUAUGUUUUCUCCAUAUCUUAUAUGUGUUGCUACAUAUCCGAAUAAAGUGGGAUAAAGAAUUUAAAGUAGUAUUCCUAUGGCAUUAGUGUUUUUGUGAGAAGGCCAGAUGUAGUGAAAGAAGUUUGUUGAUGGCAUUAAUAAGAAAGGCCCUCCUAAUAUGUAUAUUACCUUGUAAACAUUUCAUGGAAGGGCUAAAAGUUAAAUUAUAACUAAAUCACUGUGUUUUCAGAAUGAUAUUUAACAUUUAACAACAACAAACCCGUGGUCAAACCAAAAGUGUGGGUUGAAGUGUAUUUUUCAUCUUCUAGCGCAUUGGCAAUUGCUAAAAAAAAUAAUAAUAAUAAUAAUAAGUAGAUAAAUAAGGAAUUUAAUAUAAGGAUAUAGAGAUAAAUUCAAUGUCUAACAUUUUUUAUUUAUUUAAAUAGUUAUUGACCUAUGAUGACUUCCUAGUCUUAACAUUUUAUGUCUUUUUUGUUGUUAAUGUUCUUCCUUUCAGACACUUGGUUCUUAAUAGGUUCGCUGAUUGCACACAGUAGAGGCACUUCAUGUUGACCCAGUUCCCAAGUAGCAUUAAUAAUUGGGCCUGUGUCAUAAAAUGCAUGGAUCUUUAAUAGCUAAAUGACCCUGACACCUUUCACUACAGGGCUGGCUUAUUAGUAACUGACCAACUUGGGGGGGUGGGGGGGGCACUAAAGAACACGGUCAAAAAAUGUCUCCGCUCAGGGAUUUAUGGUGGAUUAUUGCAGACAGUGCUAAAAAUAUAGAGCACAAGACAAGUUUACUAAAUUAAAGUUUUAUUUUUUGAGAAACUGUUAUUUGUAUAAAUUAUCAAGAUUUGUAGGCUUUCCUUUUGUAGAAAUAAUUGUUUUAUGUGCCAGAGAAUUUCAAUUUUGUUUUCAACAAUAAAGCAUUGAUAACAAA
Molecule: long non-coding RNA, 1990 nt
Filed under: Canis lupus familiaris (dog)
Lineage: Eukaryota; Metazoa; Chordata; Mammalia; Carnivora; Canidae
Description: lncRNA (ENSCAFG00845011447.1)
Source: RNAcentral